Molecule: long non-coding RNA, 1191 nt
Filed under: Oryctolagus cuniculus (rabbit)
Lineage: Eukaryota; Metazoa; Chordata; Mammalia; Lagomorpha; Leporidae
Description: lncRNA (ENSOCUG00000034471.1)
Source: RNAcentral
AAGGCAGAGUUACAGAGAGGUAGAGGCGGAGAGAGGGAGAGAGAGAGAGAGAGAGAGAGAGAGGUCUUCUAUCCAUUGGUUCACUCCCCAACUUGCCACAAUGGCAGGAGCUGCACCAAUCCGAAGCUAGGAGCUUCUUCUUGGUCUCCCACCCAGGUGCAGGGGUCCAAGGACUUGGGCCAUUUCCCACUGCUUUCCCAGGCCAUCGCAGAGAGCUGGAUUGGAAGUGGAGCAGCCGGGAAUCGAAGCUGCGCCUGUAAGGGAUGCGGGCCCUGCAGGUGGCGGCCCUACCAGACUUCUCUUACACAUUCACCCAGUCUACUCUCCCACCCACCCAUCUCCUCUCAUAUCAGUUUCCUCUCUAAGUCCCACCACGUCUUCACACCUACACGAGUGUCCUUGCACACCAGCCUCCUGCACACCCACCAAUCUCCCCUCACACUCCGACCAGCCUCUCCCAUCAGCUUCUCACACUCACAUCAUUUCUCAUUCACACCUGCCUCCUCGCACAUCCACACAAUCUCCUCUCCCACACGCACACCAGCCUCCUGUCACAUCCAUCUCCUCCAAGACUCAACACCAAUUUCCUCUCAUGCACUCACACCAGCCCCCUCACAUAAACCAGGUUCCCUCUCGCACUCACACUCGGCUCCCACGCACACCCGUUUCGCCGUCACACACCAGCCUCCUCACUUAGACACCAGUGUCCUCAUGGACACACCAGUCUCCUUUCACAUUCACACCAGUCAUACACUCACAUCCAGUUUACACACACACACGGUCUCACACUCACAUCUGUCUCGCUCCCACACUCAAGUGUCUCCUCACACCCUCGUGCUCCCUAGGCACAGCCCCUGCCGCAUGUCGGCCGCUCGCAGGCGGCCUGAUCGUGGGAACCUGGCGAGCCUCUCGGUCCCUGUCCCUGCUUGGUCAUCCAUCUCCCUUCCUAGUCGGUGCACCCGAGACUUCAAAGGCUUUCCCGCAGGCGGAGCUGCCUGCGGGGCGCAGAGGCCUGGCGGACGCAUCGGGGCCUCUCUGGGUCCUGCGGGAGGCUGGCGAGCUGCGGCGCCCCCUCCGCAGCCGCCCGCAGCGAGGGCCGCGCCACGCGCCGGCCUCCCGGGCCAGCCCUCUCCAGCCCCGCGAGUGCAGGCCGGCGGGAGGGGCCGAGGCGAUUCCCUGGCCAAGGGCUGA